UACAGAGGUCUCAAGCGUUGUUCGGAUUCAUUGGGCGUAAAGGGUGUGUAGGUGGCGCCGUAAGUCGGGUGUGAAAUUUCGGAGCUUAACUCCGAAACUGCAUUCGAUACUGCGGUGCUUGAGGACUGGAGAGGAGACUGGAAUUCAUGGUGUAGCAGUGAAAUGCGUAGAGAUCAUGAGGAAGACCAGUGGCGAAGGCGGGGUCUC
RNAcentral lists this ribosomal RNA (207 nucleotides) under uncultured bacterium. RNAcentral describes it as "partial 16S ribosomal RNA". It matches the Rfam family "Bacterial small subunit ribosomal RNA", at positions 524 to 729 of the family's 1533-position model. The record is from RNAcentral.